This is a non-coding RNA of Microcebus murinus (gray mouse lemur), 945 nucleotides long. NCBI's taxonomy places the organism in Eukaryota, Metazoa, Chordata, Mammalia, Primates, Cheirogaleidae. The record is from RefSeq and is a predicted model, not a curated record.
GGGGCCCAGUGGCGGAGACUUCCGGGGGUGGGGUGGGGACCAGCCAGGGCCCUAAAAGGCCCUGGUCCCACUGGCUGUGGCUGGGGUCCUGGCCUUGAAAGGAAGCGUCUCUGAGCGGCGCCUAGGGCUCUUGGUGAAUGAAAUGCCGACCUGGAUUUAUGGGGUCUGGAGGAAGUGCUGCUCUCUCGCUCCUGUGGCCCCUGCGUCUGAACGAGUCGCUUCCCGCUGGGAAUGGCGCGCCCCUGGGGGGCAGACGGAGGCUCUCCCGGGAUUGCUCUGGCCGCCGUCUUGGUCUGUUCCUGCUGCUAUCACAAAAUCCUGACACCAGAGUGGAUUCUGCCAUCUGAGAAGAUCACCGGUCACGCAGGGAUUGUCACACAGCACUGUCUUCGGCUUCCUUGAGCCUCCAGCCUCCUACUGUCCUCCUGGUGGCUCCAGCAGGCUGUGCGGUGAGACGGUCCCCACCGCUGGUCCCAGCCUCCUUCCUCUCUGGUGCCCUCCCUCCCUGCACGCUCUUACCCUGUCCAUGGCUGCAGUCCGCACCUACGAAAAAUAAAGCACAGGUCUUUGGCUGUGACCCUUGCCAGGAGUGAGAACAGAUGUUACCAGUUCUCCCAUACGUGGUCUGUUUCACUGCUUUCGCUUCCUGCGCCUUUUGAUGAACAGAGAAAUUUCACACCCCCAAAGGGGAAGCCGAACCCUUCCGACGGGGAAUCGCUGUCGCCUGCCUACCUCCAGAGCCUGGAAGAUGAUUCACAUGCAUUUUCCCCUGCACCUGGACCUUCACUGGGACAUGGAUUGAAAGACUCUUAGGGAAACAUCUACCAACUGCAACACAUAACACUUAGGUGGAUCCUAAUUCAAUCUGUCAAGGAAAAAAUUAUGAGAUAAUGGGAAAAUUUGAACCUGGUUAAAUAUUUUAUAAUGUUAAGGAAUUGUUAAUUG